This 449-nucleotide ribosomal RNA is filed under the name uncultured bacterium. Its description in RNAcentral is "partial 16S ribosomal RNA". It matches the Rfam family "Bacterial small subunit ribosomal RNA", at positions 29 to 523 of the family's 1533-position model. The record is from RNAcentral.
AAUGAACGCUGGCGGCAUGCCUAACACAUGCAAGUCGAACGAAGGCUUCGGCCUUAGUGGCGCACGGGUGCGUAACGCGUGGGAAUCUGCCCUUGGGUUCGGAAUAACAGUUAGAAAUGACUGCUAAUACCGGAUGAUGUCGUAAGACCAAAGAUUUAUCGCCCAAGGAUGAGCCCGCGUAGGAUUAGCUAGUUGGUGGGGUAAAGGCCCACCAAGGCGACGAUCCUUAGCUGGUCUGAGAGGAUGAUCAGCCACACUGGGACUGAGACACGGCCCAGACUCCUACGGGAGGCAGCAGUGGGGAAUAUUGGACAAUGGGCGAAAGCCUGAUCCAGCAAUGCCGCGUGAGUGAUGAAGGCCUUAGGGUUGUAAAGCUCUUUUACCCGGGAUGAUAAUGACAGUACCGGGAGAAUAAGCCCCGGCUAACUCCGUGCCAGCCGCCGCCGUAA